UAGUCAUAUGCUUGUCUCAAAGAUUAAGCCAUGCAUGUCUAAGUAUAAGCAAAUUGUACAGUGAAACUGCGAAUGGCUCAUUAAAUCAGUUAUAGUUUAUUUGAUGGUUACUCCCACAUGGAUAACUGUGGUAAUUCUAGAGCUAAUACAUGCAAUAAAAGCCCUGACUUCUGGAACGGGUGUAUUUAUUAGAUUCAAAGCCAAUGGCCUUCGGGUCUUGUGGUGAUUCAUAAUAACUUGUCGAAUCGCAUGCCCUUGUGGCGGCGAUGCUUCAUUC
RNAcentral lists this ribosomal RNA (277 nucleotides) under uncultured eukaryote. Its description in RNAcentral is "partial 18S ribosomal RNA". It matches the Rfam family "Eukaryotic small subunit ribosomal RNA", at positions 21 to 300 of the family's 1831-position model. The record is from RNAcentral.